AGCCUUCCCGCACCCCGCAGCCCCACUCGGGCCGUCGAAGGCGAGGCCUGCAGGAAGCUGCGACGGGCGGGGAGGCCUGUCGCCAGCCUCAGCCCCGGAGAUCGCCGCCUGGGAAAGCCGAGGGAGACCCAGACUGGUUCAUAUACUGAAGGCAACAUUGCAGACAAAGGGGCGUGCCCUGACAUCUUCAGCUCCACUGGUAGAUUGGAAACAUUAGAGAGAGAAGUACAAAGCUGCAAUUUCCAUAGUUCAAACUGCAUGGAAGAAUGCAAAUUCAGAGUGCUGAAGAGAAGCCCAAAUCUCCAGACAUUAGAAAAAUGAGACUUCCCGUGCCUCAGUCCAACAUAUCAUGCUGGGUUGAUGAAGAACAGGACCAGCAUUUGAAGGAAGGUUACUGAUGGAUAUGCAAAUUAAAUUAGGAACACAUUCAAGAGAUUAAAGAGGGACAAGCAAUGGAAAAGAGAGCAGAUGGACCAGCAAACAUUAAGUCAAGAAUCUCAGUUGUCGGUACAUACUUUGGUUGCUUUCAAAAGUGAUGCUUAAAUCAAUUUUUUGUACUUUCCACACUUGCAAAUUGCAAAUAAAAUCCUUCUUUAGACAGAA
This is a long non-coding RNA of Eublepharis macularius, 603 nucleotides long. RefSeq lists it as uncharacterized. The record is from RefSeq and is a predicted model, not a curated record. The transcript has 2 exons. NCBI's taxonomy places the organism in Eukaryota, Metazoa, Chordata, Lepidosauria, Squamata, Eublepharidae.